UACGGAGGGAGCUAGCGUUGUUCGGAAUUACUGGGCGUAAAGCGCACGUAGGCGGCUUUGUAAGUUAGAGGUGAAAGCCCGGGGCUCAACUCCGGAACUGCCUUUAAGACUGCAUCGCUUGAAUCCAGGAGAGGUGAGUGGAAUUCCGAGUGUAGAGGUGAAAUUCGUAGAUAUUCGGAAGAACACCAGUGGCGAAGGCGGCUCACUGGACUGGUAUUGACGCUGAGGUGCGAAGGCGUGGGGAGCAAACAGG
This 253-nucleotide ribosomal RNA is filed under the name uncultured bacterium. RNAcentral's name for it is "partial 16S ribosomal RNA". It matches the Rfam family "Bacterial small subunit ribosomal RNA", at positions 524 to 776 of the family's 1533-position model. The record is from RNAcentral.